UAAACAGCCCUUUUCAGGGCUACCAACAUUUUUUAUGAGGAACGA
Non-coding RNA from Trichomalopsis sarcophagae, 45 nucleotides. NCBI's taxonomy places the organism in Eukaryota, Metazoa, Arthropoda, Insecta, Hymenoptera, Pteromalidae. The record is from Rfam.